Long non-coding RNA from Pongo pygmaeus (Bornean orangutan), 1749 nucleotides. RefSeq lists it as uncharacterized. The record is from RefSeq and is a predicted model, not a curated record. The transcript has 8 exons. NCBI's taxonomy places the organism in Eukaryota, Metazoa, Chordata, Mammalia, Primates, Hominidae.
CCCCGCCCCGCCCCGCCCCGCCCCGAGCCUGCCUUGCCCAGUCCGCCCUGUCCUCCAGCAGGGCGAGGCCCGACUCCGGUCGUUCUGCCACGUUUGAGCGGGCGAGCCUGGCGGCCGGGAGACGCCGGGGAACGGGGCUGGUGGGGUGCAGAGGCGCGGUUCCAUCGCCUUCCGCCCUGCGGUGGGGGCUCGGGGCAAGUAGGGGGACGGCAGAGGCGGUGUUCGGUGCAGGGCCGCGCCCUGGGCUCCUGAAAAUAAAUUACCUUGAGGGGCUGAGUGCGGUGGCUCAUGCAUGUAAUUCCAACACUUUGGGAGGCAAAGGCUGGAGGGUCCCUUGAGCCUUGGAGUUCAAGAAGAUCGGCAUGGGUUACAUGCCAGGGCUGCAGUCAUUUGAAGGCUUGACUAGGGCUAGAGGAUUUUCAUCCAAGAUGGCUCACUCACCCAGCUGUCGGCAGGAGACCUCAGUUCUUUGCCACACGGACUUCUCCAUAAGACUUUAGAUCUGGUAUUACUAUAUUGCCUAGAAUGGACUUGAACUCCUAGGCCGAAGGGAUCCUGCCAUCUCAAUUUCCCAAGUAACUGAGAUUACAGACAUGAACCACCACGCCUAGCUCUCUCCCAGUGUAUUGAAGGAGUCCAUGCAAGUAAUGCCUGCCUUCCCCUAUGCAGGCUGUGGCCAUCCCAAGCUGCACAUCAGGCUAUUUUUUGGAUAUUGAUGAUACUGUUAAACUGAAUAUCAUGGCCCCUGUGCAAGGAUGACACACAAGUUCGUGAAGCAUUCCAUAUUUUAUAAAUUUUUGAAUUAAAAUUGUUAAAAAAAUAAACUGAAUGUGUUCUCUGCCAUCUUCACCCAAAAUACCUGUCCAGUCACCAUUUACUCAUCUUUCGAGACUCAGAAGUCAGCUGUGGUACCAAGCCUUUUCUGACCUUCCCAGAUGAAUAACCAACGCAGCGAGAUGAGGAAAUUUACCAAAGCCAUACAACUAACAAGGAGAGACGGUGGAGGAAAGGGAGGAGGAUGAGGAAGACGGGAUGAAGAGAGAUAGGGUCUCCCUCUGCCACCCAGGCUGGAGUACAGUGACACGAUCUCGGCUGACUGCAACCUCUGCCUCCCGGGUUCAAGCGAUUCUUCUGCCUCAGCCUCCCGAGUAGCUGGGACUACAGGAGUGUGCCACCACAUCCAGCUAAUUUUUGUAAUUUUAGUAGAGAUGGGGUGUCAUCAUAUUGGCCAGGCUGGUCUCGAACUCCUGACCUAGUGAUCCAUCCACCUCGGCCUCCCAAAGUGCUGGGAUUACAGACGUGAGCCACUGUGCCCGGUCUCUCUUAAAUAUAUUUCUACAUAAUUUUCAAAUUAUUGUGAAAAGUAUAUAGAAAUGCAAUAGAUUUUUUAAAAAUAAAUAGAGACAGGAUCUCAUUAUGUUUCCCAGGCUGAUCUCAAACUCCUGGGCUCAAGUCUGUCCCGGCCUCCCAAAGUGCUGGAAUUACAGGUGUGAGCUACUGCACCGGACAAAAAUGCAGUAGAUUUUAAAAUAUUGGCCUUACAUCCUGUGACUUUGCUAAAUUCCCUUAUUAGUUCAGUUUUGAUUAUUUUGGGUUGUCUAGGUACACAAUCAUGUUAUAUACAAAUAAAGACCAUUUUACUUGUAUUUUGGAUAUGUGUAUAUAUUUAAAUUAUUUUGUGCCUGGAAUGUGCCAGUUGUUGUUGGGAGCUGGGUCUAUGGUGGUGAAUAAAACAAUCUUUGAAAUGUC